This 468-nucleotide ribosomal RNA is filed under the name uncultured bacterium. Its description in RNAcentral is "partial 16S ribosomal RNA". It matches the Rfam family "Bacterial small subunit ribosomal RNA", at positions 28 to 507 of the family's 1533-position model. The record is from RNAcentral.
GACGAACGCUGGCGGCGUGCUUAACACAUGCAAGUCGAACGGAAAGGCCCUGCUUUUGUGGGGUGCUCGAGUGGCGAACGGGUGAGUAACACGUGAGUAACCUGCCCUUGACUUUGGGAUAACUUCAGGAAACUGGGGCUAAUACCGGAUAGGAGCUCCUGCUGCAUGGUGGGGGUUGGAAAGUUUCGGCGGUUGGGGAUGGACUCGCGGCUUAUCAGCUUGUUGGUGGGGUAGUGGCUUACCAAGGCUUUGACGGGUAGCCGGCCUGAGAGGGUGGCCGGCCACAUUGGGACUGAGAGACGGCCCAGACGCCUACGGGAGGCAGCAGUGGGGAAUAUUGCACAAUGGGCGGAAGCCUGAGGCAGCAACGCCGCGGGCGGGAUGACGGCCUUCGGGUUGUAAACCGCUUUCGCCUGUGACGAAGCGUGAGUGACGGUAAUGGGUAAAGAAGCACCGGCUAACUACGUG